CGCGAAUGGCUCAUUACAACAGCCAUAGUUUAUUGGAUGUUUACGUUCCUACAAGGACACCUGCGGUAAUUCUGGAGCUAAUACUUGCGAAAUGCGACAACCUCACGGGAGUCGUGCAUUUAUUAGAUUAAACCAAUCGGUCCUUCGGGACCGCCAUUUGGUGAACUCUGAAUAACUUAGCUGAUCGCACAGUCUCGUACUGGCGACAAAUCUUUCAAGUGUCUGCCUUAUCAACUUUCGAUGGUAGUUUAUACGACUACCAUGGUUGUAACGGGUAACGGAGAAUAAGGGUUCGACUCCGGAGAGGGAACCUGAGAAACGGCUACCACAUCCAAGGAAGGCAGCAGGCGCGCAAAUUACCCACUCGCAGAACGCGGAGGUAGUGACGAAAAAUAACGAGGUGGCUCUCUAUGAGGUCCAUCAUCGGAAUGGGUACAAUUUAAAUCCUUUAACGAGGAUCUAUUGGAGGGCAAGUCUGGUGCCAGCAGCCGCGGUAAUUCCAGCU
RNAcentral lists this ribosomal RNA (505 nucleotides) under Trichodorus primitivus. RNAcentral's name for it is "SSU rRNA". It matches the Rfam family "Eukaryotic small subunit ribosomal RNA", at positions 88 to 590 of the family's 1831-position model. Lineage: Eukaryota; Metazoa; Nematoda; Enoplea; Triplonchida; Trichodoridae. The record is from RNAcentral.